Long non-coding RNA from Quercus robur (English oak), 1302 nucleotides. RefSeq lists it as uncharacterized. The transcript is spliced from 4 exons. Lineage: Eukaryota; Viridiplantae; Streptophyta; Magnoliopsida; Fagales; Fagaceae. The record is from RefSeq and is a predicted model, not a curated record.
UCUUUGUAUCAAAGCAAAUGGAGAGGAUCCUGAUCUGUAUCCAUAGCUUCGGUUUGCAUUUGUAAGAUGCUAUGUUUAUAUUGAAAGGGUAUUGAAUUGAGUAAUUGGUUAUGUGAGACUUGCAGGAAUUGGGUGGCAUGAAUGAUUACAAAGGACCAAUAUUUCUGGUUAAGUGAACUGAUUAUGUAAAUGGGGUUUGGCUUUCCGUUUAGGUACAUGGAAGUGUUAUUAUGCACGAGAAUUCUGAUGUUUCCAAAUGUUAACUUUUAUGUUAAGUUAGCAACUUUAGAAUGCUGUUAUUACAUUAUUUUAAACUAAAAGUAAGAAAGGAAAUUGUUUGAGCUUGAUGGGAGUGACUGUACCAGUUGCUUUUAAAUUUUCAAAAUGGUCUAAGCUAAGACUAGGAGUGAAAUUCUGAGUUCCUAGAUUUAGGAUUUUUCACUUUUUGGUUAGAUUAUGAUUUGCUGCCAUUAACAUAUACUUGUUGUGAUGAUCUUAAUCGUAUACAGUUUUCAUUAUAUCUGAGUGAAGGUAUGUUGCAUUAUUGCCUUGAUAGAUUACAUGGUCUUAUAUAGUGGACAUACAUUAAUCGUGCUGAUUUUUGACUUGUGACUGGGAAAACAUUCAAAUUUCUGUAAUUGGAGAUUCCUCUAAGCUAUCAAGAUCCCUACAAGAGCUGAUAACAGGAAUUGAGGAGACCACCAACACUAAUUGUGGACUCCAACUUAUUGCUUUUUAAGGUUAGACAAUAGUAGAUAUGUGGGGCAGAUUGAGACUUUUCACCCUCUGGAAGCUUUCCUUGGAAUUCAUAGUCUCCAAACACUACAUCUGCUACUCCCUCUCCUUGACUCCCUGGCAACCAAGCUGCAACCAAUGCAUCCAUCUUUUCCAGAAGUUCUGGUUCCAAAACAAGAGGCCUUCCAGAUAUCAGAACUACCAAAGUUGGAACUCUUUCUGCAACCAUGUUAAUAACAUUGGCACCAUCAAAAGGAAUUUUGAGCUCUACAUUAUAUCCCUUGCCUUCAGCGUAAGCAGGCUCACCAACAACAACUAUAGCAUAGGAGAAUUCUAGGCCUUCAAAGGUUGCUGAUGAUGGGUUUUGCUCAUAUAUGACUUCUGAAUGUUCUCCAACUGCUUCUUUAAUGCCUUCCAAUAUUGUUGUCCCUACAACACAAGGAAAAUCCGUAUGAGAGAGGUAUAAAAAAAUACAAACCAUUCCAUUGCUUUUAACAUGGGUGCAUGGUCUUUCAAAUGUAUGUGUUCCCUAUUAUUGACUUAAUCAAAAUUUCCUCUUUUUAUCUC